Long non-coding RNA from Anas platyrhynchos (mallard), 1014 nucleotides. RefSeq lists it as uncharacterized. Lineage: Eukaryota; Metazoa; Chordata; Aves; Anseriformes; Anatidae. The record is from RefSeq and is a predicted model, not a curated record.
GAGGGGGAGCGAACGGCUGCAUGGUGUUUAGCUGCUGGCCGGGUAACCACGACAGAAGGCAAAGAACACCCUUUGGAAAUAGUUUUGAGAAGAGAAGCCCCUCCCUAAAGCAGUAACAGAGAAGAGUAAAUAGGGAGAAGUGGAAGGAAAGAAGAGGCAACUGAAUUUUUCAACAAUUUUACAUCAACUUUGUGCAUUGCUCUCAUGAGACACUUUUGAAGUAUGUCAAGUGAAACCAGGCUGAAAUUCCCAAACCUAUUCUCUUUCCUUGGGUACAGUAUUGGAUGUGGAACUUAGCUCUAGAUCCAUUCUCAGUUUGAAUGGAGUCAUUCUGGUUCCUUAUAUUCUCCAGGACAGCUGAACUAUGAAGAGAAGGGCUACUGUUCAAUGUGGAACUGACAAAGGCAAGAGAAGGAAAACAAAACUGCUCCAGAUGGCCUGUCAGAGCUGCAGACAAAAUACAUGGAGAUGCUUAUAAAAUUAAAUUAAGAAAGAACUGACUGCAUCUACAAUAAUAGGAAAAACAACUUUGCCUAUUGCAGUACAGCAGCCUUACAAUAAGAAGCUUCAAUACGCAAAUUGCAACUCAAGAGCCAGGUGUGUGUUUAUGAGCUCUGGGCCCUUGAAAGAUGAUAAAUUCGCCAUGGGAAAUAAAGAUAACUAGCUUUGGAGAAAGUUUGCUUUUAUCUUCUAGCACUCAGACACAAGUAGCACCAAACAUUCACUUCUCCCUCCCUCCUCCUCUCAGCUCCCCUGGCAAUUCAUCAGCCAUUAUGGACCAUUUCAACACUUUACUGGGUUGGGUCUUGGCUUGUGCUCGAGUGAGUGUCCCUGCACACACGGGCGCUCUGCAGGAGCACCUGCCCUAGCAGCCAUUUCCAGUACUCUACAAGUUGGCAAAGAUCUUCCAGCAGAUAACAAGCACUGAUGAAAAUAUUUCUCCUGUUCCCUCAGUGAAAGAAAGAUGGUCUCCCACUCCGUGUAUGACAUGAAUAAAGGUUUGGGGAAAAUGAA